GACGGAGACGUUGCAGCCUUGCAUUUACGGGCCUUCCCCUUUUCUCUCUCUCCUCUGUCAUCGCUGUUGCCCAAUCACACGAGAACGCUUUUGCUUCUCUCUCUCUCUCUCCAUAUUAUUUUUCUUUCUUGCGGAUUCUCUUGUUCUUCUUCUUCUUCUCGCUCCUCUCUCUCUCUGUCUCGCCAUCAAACCCACCCUCCUCCUCCUCGUCUAUAAGUUGAACCGUGCCUCUCCUACAUGACCCCUUCUUUGUGCCUCCUGCCUAACCCCCCCCUCGCCCCAUCCCCUCUUGCCUGUUAAGACUCCUUCCCCCUUCUCUCUUUCGCCUUCCCCCCCUAAAAAUUAGUCCUCCUUUGGGGGUGCCCUUGUACAGUUCUUAGCUCAGAUCUUGAUCUUGAAACUGCCGGCAUCUAUUGCACGCCAUCCAAA
Molecule: long non-coding RNA, 429 nt
Organism: Syzygium oleosum
Lineage: Eukaryota; Viridiplantae; Streptophyta; Magnoliopsida; Myrtales; Myrtaceae
Exons: 2
Source: RefSeq, a predicted model, not a curated record